This 75-nucleotide transfer RNA is filed under the name Streptomyces phage JPandJE. RNAcentral's name for it is "tRNA-Met". It matches the Rfam family "tRNA". From Rfam's summary of the family: Transfer RNA (tRNA) molecules are approximately 80 nucleotides in length. Their secondary structure includes four short double-helical elements and three loops (D, anti-codon, and T loops). Further hydrogen bonds mediate the characteristic L-shaped molecular structure. tRNAs have two regions of fundamental functional importance: the anti-codon, which is responsible for specific mRNA codon recognition, and the 3' end, to which the tRNAs corresponding amino acid is attached (by aminoacyl-tRNA synthetases). tRNAs cope with the degeneracy of the genetic code in two manners: having more than one tRNA (with a specific anti-codon) for a particular amino acid; and 'wobble' base-pairing, i.e. permitting non-standard base-pairing at the 3rd anti-codon position. Lineage: Duplodnaviria; Heunggongvirae; Uroviricota; Caudoviricetes. The record is from RNAcentral.
UGCGCGGUGGUGUAAAGGUAACACGAGGGUCUCAUAAGCCCUGAACUGCGGGUUCGAAUCCCGUCUGCGCUCCCA